Molecule: transfer RNA, 73 nt
Filed under: Felis catus (domestic cat)
Lineage: Eukaryota; Metazoa; Chordata; Mammalia; Carnivora; Felidae
Rfam family: tRNA
About the family: Transfer RNA (tRNA) molecules are approximately 80 nucleotides in length. Their secondary structure includes four short double-helical elements and three loops (D, anti-codon, and T loops). Further hydrogen bonds mediate the characteristic L-shaped molecular structure. tRNAs have two regions of fundamental functional importance: the anti-codon, which is responsible for specific mRNA codon recognition, and the 3' end, to which the tRNAs corresponding amino acid is attached (by aminoacyl-tRNA synthetases). tRNAs cope with the degeneracy of the genetic code in two manners: having more than one tRNA (with a specific anti-codon) for a particular amino acid; and 'wobble' base-pairing, i.e. permitting non-standard base-pairing at the 3rd anti-codon position.
Source: Rfam by way of RNAcentral
ACCUAGCUGGCUUAGUUGGUGGAGCAUGGGACUCUUGAUCUUGGGUUUGUGAGUUCAAGCCACAUGUUGGGUA